This 465-nucleotide ribosomal RNA is filed under the name Vreelandella stevensii. RNAcentral's name for it is "partial 16S ribosomal RNA". It matches the Rfam family "Bacterial small subunit ribosomal RNA", at positions 338 to 795 of the family's 1533-position model. The record is from RNAcentral. Lineage: Bacteria; Pseudomonadati; Pseudomonadota; Gammaproteobacteria; Oceanospirillales; Halomonadaceae.
CCUACGGGAGGCUGCAGUGGGGAAUAUUGGACAAUGGGGGCAACCCUGAUCCAGCCAUGCCGCGUGUGUGAAGAAGGCCCUCGGGUUGUAAAGCACUUUCAGUGAGGAAGAACGCCUGGUGGUUAAUACCCAUCAGGAAAGACAUCACUCACAGAAGAAGCACCGGCUAACUCCGUGCCAGCAGCCGCGGUAAUACGGAGGGUGCGAGCGUUAAUCGGAAUUACUGGGCGUAAAGCGCGCGUAGGUGGCUUGAUAAGCCGGUUGUGAAAGCCCCGGGCUCAACCUGGGAACGGCAUCCGGAACUGUCAAGCUAGAGUGCAGGAGAGGAAGGUAGAAUUCCCGGUGUAGCGGUGAAAUGCGUAGAGAUCGGGAGGAUUACCAGUGGCGAAGGCGGCCUUCUGGACUGACACUGACACUGAGGUGCGAAAGCGUGGGUAGCAAACAGGAUUAGAUACCCGAGUAGUC